This 224-nucleotide long non-coding RNA is filed under the name Mytilus galloprovincialis (Mediterranean mussel). Lineage: Eukaryota; Metazoa; Mollusca; Bivalvia; Mytilida; Mytilidae. The record is from RNAcentral.
UGGAAAGACCUUCAAUUGUUCUCUGAACAAUUGGUUUUUAAUUAGGUCUUUCCACCUUUCUGUGGAAAGACCUAUUGUAUUUCUUCUGAUUAUUAUUAUUUUUUUUUUUUUUUUUUUUCUUCCGCCUAAUUUUGAUAUUGCGACAAAUGUUUGUUUCGCAAUAUGUCGCUUAGAUAUUUCUCAUAUUGUAUCGUACAGUUUAUGCGCUUUUACAUUUCACCCUG